AUACUUACAUGGCAGGGGAAUAUCAUGGUCACAAAAGUGGCUUUGCCAGGAUGAGGUGUCUCCAUUGUACUCAGCAUGUAUUGACUCUUGUGAUUUUCCUAAAUUUGGGAAACUUGACUACAUAAUUUGUGGUAGUAGCACUUUGUUCAAUAUA
Molecule: non-coding RNA, 154 nt
Organism: Cricetulus griseus (Chinese hamster)
Lineage: Eukaryota; Metazoa; Chordata; Mammalia; Rodentia; Cricetidae
Source: Rfam